RNAcentral lists this ribosomal RNA (272 nucleotides) under Sarcina sp. DSM 11001. Its description in RNAcentral is "23S rRNA. Bacterial LSU". It matches the Rfam family "Bacterial large subunit ribosomal RNA", at positions 2640 to 2925 of the family's 2925-position model. Lineage: Bacteria; Bacillati; Bacillota; Clostridia; Eubacteriales; Clostridiaceae. The record is from RNAcentral.
AUCCGGCGCGGGCGUAGGAUGUUUGAGGGGAGCUGCCCUUAGUACGAGAGGACCGGGGUGGACGGGCCGCUGGUGUAUCUGCUGCGCCGCCAGGCGCAAGAGGCAGGGUAGCCAAGCCCGGCAGGGAUAAACGCUGAAGGCAUCUAAGCGUGAAGCCCCCCCCAAGAUGAGACAUCACAAGACCCCUUGAAGACUACGAGGUGGAUAGGCGCGAGGUGGAAGUGCGGCAACGCAUGGAGCUGACGCGUACUAAUAGGUCGGCUGCUUAUCCU